AAAAAAAAGAAAAAAAUCGAACAUAGAAAAUUUAUAAAAGUCUAAUAAUCGACGUGAGAAAUCGCUCAUAUGAUCCAACUGUUUUAAAUCUUGGAUAUUUAUCAAUGACCCCAUUCAUCUGGAUGUCCUGUGCCACCUCCAGGUGUACCAGAAGGACGAGAUACACUAGGAGGAAGAUAAGCAGGUCCUUGAGGUUCGCCUCGAAUUCCUAUCAGCAUCGUUGCUACUAAUAAUGCCUAUAAAAUU
Vespula pensylvanica (western yellowjacket) is the source of this 246-nucleotide long non-coding RNA. RefSeq lists it as uncharacterized. The record is from RefSeq and is a predicted model, not a curated record. Lineage: Eukaryota; Metazoa; Arthropoda; Insecta; Hymenoptera; Vespidae. The transcript is spliced from 2 exons.